GAUGAACGCUGGCGGCGUGCCUAAUACAUGCAAGUCGAGCGAACGGACGAGAAGCUUGCUUUUCUGAUGUUAGCGGCGGACGGGUGAGUAACACGUGGAUAACCUACCUAUAAGACUGGGAUAACUUCGGGAAACCGGAGCUAAUACCGGAUAAUAUUUUGAACCGCAUGGUUCAAAAGUGAAAGACGGUCUUGCUGUCACUUAUAGAUGGGUCCGCGCUGCAUUAGCUAGUUGGUAAGGUAACGGCUUACCAAGGCAACGAUGCAUAGCCGACCUGAGAGGGUGAUCGGCCACACUGGAACUGAGACACGGUCCAGACUCCUACGGGAGGCAGCAGUAGGGAAUCUUCCGCAAUGGGCGAAAGCCUGACGGAGCAACGCCGCGUGAGUGAUGAAGGUCUUCGGAUCGUAAAACUCUGUUAUUAGGGAAGAACAUAUGUGUAAGUAACUGUGCACAUCUUGACGGUACCUAAUCAGAAAGCCACGGCUAACUACGUG
This 497-nucleotide ribosomal RNA is filed under the name uncultured bacterium. RNAcentral's name for it is "partial 16S ribosomal RNA". It matches the Rfam family "Bacterial small subunit ribosomal RNA", at positions 28 to 507 of the family's 1533-position model. The record is from RNAcentral.